CUCAGCCCCUUCAAUCAGAGUCAGGAAAUAAAAGGCACCUGUGAGCCUCUGCUCUUUCUCUGCCUGCCUCAUGCCCUGUCCCUGCUGUGGCUGCACAUUGUUGCACUAGGGUCAAGGAUUUCCCUCCUGCUCUCCUGCCAUCCCAUAUACUUAGGCCUCAAGGUGGUCCUCUUGCCCCAUGGACUACUGCUGCUUUGCCUACUUGCUUUUUUUUAGACUUAUUUCCUUUUUGCUUAUUGCCUUAUUUGUUUAUCAAUUUGCCCUUUGUUAUGCCCAGUUGUGUUCAGUUGCCCAUUUGUUGAACAGCUGGCAUACUUAUUUAUGUUGUGAGUUGUUUUCUGUGAGUUUUCCUUUAUUUCAGGAGUGGAGUGCCAUAUUGCUGAGGGGCUAGGCACUUGUGGUGAGGUCCCUGCACUUUUUGCGUGUGAGUAGUUGCACUGGGACACCAUAGACUGCACCAUUGUUUUGUGUGAGGUUUGCUGUGUUUGCUGUGUUCACUGGUGAAUAGCGGUAGCACCCCUCCGUGUAGUCUGCCUCUCACAAGUGGCCUCCUCCUUUUUCUAUUUAGUUUCACUUAAGUUGGGCUGUGUUUUAGCUUUUGUAGUUGCCCCUUUUUAGAAUUAGUAUUCAGGCCUUUUUUAGAAUUAAAUGUAAUAAAGUAAUUUAUAAAUUGUCCAUAAUUUGUGCUGUUUUUACUAUUUUUUCCUUUUCCGCAGCUCC
Long non-coding RNA from Myripristis murdjan (pinecone soldierfish), 720 nucleotides. RefSeq lists it as uncharacterized. The transcript is spliced from 3 exons. Lineage: Eukaryota; Metazoa; Chordata; Actinopteri; Holocentriformes; Holocentridae. The record is from RefSeq and is a predicted model, not a curated record.